AGUCGAACGGUAGCACAGGGGAGCUUGCUCCUCGGGUGACGAGUGGCGGACGGGUGAGUAAUGUCUGGGGAUCUGCCCGAUGGAGGGGGAUAACCACUGGAAACGGUGGCUAAUACCGCAUAACGUCGCGAGACCAAAGUGGGGGACCUUCGGGCCUCACACCAUCGGAUGAACCCAGAUGGGAUUAGCUAGUAGGUGGGGUAACGGCUCACCUAGGCGACGAUCCCUAGCUGGUCUGAGAGGAUGACCAGCCACACUGGAACUGAGACACGGUCCAGACUCCUACGGGAGGCAGCAGUGGGGAAUAUUGCACAAUGGGCGCAAGCCUGAUGCAGCCAUGCCGCGUGUAUGAAGAAGGCCUUCGGGUUGUAAAGUACUUUCAGCGGGGAGGAAGGGGACGAGGUUAAUAACCUCGUUCAUUGACGUUACCCGCAGAAGAAGCACCGGCUAACUCCGUGCCAGCAGCCGCGGUAAUACGGAGGGUGCAAGCGUUAAUCGGAAUUACUGGGCGUAAAGCGCACGCAGGCGGUCUGUUAAGUCAGAUGUGAAAUCCCCGGGCUUAACCUGGGAACUGCAUUUGAAACUGGCAGGCUUGAGUCUUGUAGAGGGGGGUAGAAUUCCAGGUGUAGCGGUGAAAUGCGUAGAGAUCUGGAGGAAUACCGGUGGCGAAGGCGGCCCCCUGGACAAAGACUGACGCUCAGGUGCGAAAGCGUGGUGAGCAAACAGGAUUAGAUACCCUGGUAGUCCACGCCGUAAACGAUGUCGACUUGGAGGCUGUGAGCAUGACUCGUGGCUUCCGGAGCUAACGCGUUAAGUCGACCGCCUGGGGAGUACGGCCGCAAGGUUAAAACUCAAAUGAAUUGAC
Molecule: ribosomal RNA, 865 nt
Filed under: uncultured bacterium
Lineage: Bacteria
Description: bacterial SSU rRNA
Rfam family: Bacterial small subunit ribosomal RNA
Source: RNAcentral